RNAcentral lists this ribosomal RNA (447 nucleotides) under uncultured bacterium. Its description in RNAcentral is "partial 16S ribosomal RNA". It matches the Rfam family "Bacterial small subunit ribosomal RNA", at positions 338 to 795 of the family's 1533-position model. The record is from RNAcentral.
CCUACGGGUGGCAGCAGUGGGGAAUCUUGCGCAAUGGGCGGAAGCCUGACGCAGCGACGCCGCGUGCGGGACGAAGGCCUUCGGGUCGUUAAACGCUUUCAGUAGGGACGAGGCAGUCACGGUGACGGGACCUGCAGAAGAAGCCCCGGCUAACUACGUGCCAGCAGCCGCGGUAAUACGGAGGGGGAGAGCGUUAUCCGGAUUCAUUGGGUGUAAAGCGCGCGUAGGCGGGCUGUUAGGUCGGGGGUAAAAUACCGGGGCUAAACCCCGGCCCGCCCCCGAUACCGGGAGGCUUGAGUGUGGUAGGGGAAGGCGGAAUGCGCAGUGUAGCGGUGGAAUGCGCAGAUAUUGGGAAGAACACCGAUGGCGAAGGCAGCCUUCUGGGCCACGACUGACGCUGAGGCGCGAAAGCGAGGGGAUCGAACAGGAUUAGAUACCCUUGUAGUC